This 426-nucleotide ribosomal RNA is filed under the name uncultured bacterium. Its description in RNAcentral is "bacterial SSU rRNA". It matches the Rfam family "Bacterial small subunit ribosomal RNA", at positions 355 to 772 of the family's 1533-position model. The record is from RNAcentral.
UCGAGAGGCUUCGGCAAUGGGGGAAACCCUGACCGAGCGACGCCGCGUGGAGGAUGAAGGCCUUUGGGUUGUAAACUCCUGUCAUGUGGGAAGAAACGCUAUCGUUCGAAUAGGGCGGUAGUUUGACGGUACCACAAGAGGAAGCUCCGGCUAACUCCGUGCCAGCAGCCGCGGUAAUACGGAGGGGGCUAGCGUUGUUCGGAAUUACUGGGCGUAAGGGGUGCGUAGGCGGCGCGGUAAGUCGGGUGUGAAAUCUCGGAGCUUAACUCCGAAACUGCAUUCGAUACUGCCGUGCUUGAGGACUGGAGAGGAGACUGGAAUUUACGGUGUAGCGGUGAAAUGCGUAGAUAUCGUAAGGAAGACCAGUGGCGAAGGCGGGUCUCUGGACAGUUCCUGACGCUGAGGCACGAAGGCCAGGGGAGCAAA